AUUGAAACAGCAGUCCCUAAAAAUUACAAGUUGGUAGCUGCACCACUGUUCUAAUUGUAUGACCCUGCACCAGGAUAUGGGCCCAUCAUUUCUAGUCGUUGAGCAGGUUCAAUUUUAUAUACAACUGAAUACCUGUGGCAGCAGAGAAGGAAAAGAAGCCAUCUCUGCCAAAAUAGUGUUGAAGUGCUGACAGUCCUCUGUAGCUUUAGGAUUUUGACAAGAGCUUUGGCUACAGAAAACCAAAAGGGGUUUGAGCUCAAGAGCAGACGAGUGAGCAGCAGAAACAUUCCUGAGCACACAAGCCUCAAUUCUCAGAGCCUUUUGGAACAACUGGGUAAGUGGGUUCCACUUCCCAUC
Molecule: long non-coding RNA, 357 nt
Filed under: Ictidomys tridecemlineatus (thirteen-lined ground squirrel)
Lineage: Eukaryota; Metazoa; Chordata; Mammalia; Rodentia; Sciuridae
Description: lncRNA (ENSSTOG00000032896.1)
Source: RNAcentral